Molecule: ribosomal RNA, 2189 nt
Filed under: Salmonella enterica subsp. enterica serovar Alachua
Lineage: Bacteria; Pseudomonadati; Pseudomonadota; Gammaproteobacteria; Enterobacterales; Enterobacteriaceae
Description: partial 23S ribosomal RNA
Rfam family: Bacterial large subunit ribosomal RNA
Source: RNAcentral
GACCCGAAACCCGGUGAUCUAGCCAUGGGCAGGUUGAAGGUUGGGUAACACUAACUGGAGGACCGAACCGACUAAUGUUGAAAAAUUAGCGGAUGACCUGUGGCUGGGGGUGAAAGGCCAAUCAAACCGGGAGAUAGCUGGUUCUCCCCGAAAGCUAUUUAGGUAGCGCCUCGUGAACUCAUCUCCGGGGGUAGAGCACUGUUUCGGCUAGGGGGCCAUCCCGGCUUACCAACCCGAUGCAAACUGCGAAUACCGGAGAAUGUUAUCACGGGAGACACACGGCGGGUGCUAACGUCCGUCGUGAAGAGGGAAACAACCCAGACCGCCAGCUAAGGUCCCAAAGUCAUGGUUAAGUGGGAAACGAUGUGGGAAGGCCCAGACAGCCAGGAUGUUGGCUUAGAAGCAGCCAUCAUUUAAAGAAAGCGUAAUAGCUCACUGGUCGAGUCGGCCUGCGCGGAAGAUGUAACGGGGCUAAACCAUGCACCGAAGCUGCGGCAGCGAACGUAUCACUUAAAGCGAUUCAGCGGGUUACGAUUGACGGAGCGAAGCGACGUCAAAGCGUAUACAAAGUCGAGUCGGUUUAAGGAUACGUUCGUUGGGUAGGGGAGCGUUCUGUAAGCCUGUGAAGGUGGCCUGUGAGGGUUGCUGGAGGUAUCAGAAGUGCGAAUGCUGACAUAAGUAACGAUAAAGCGGGUGAAAAGCCCGCUCGCCGGAAGACCAAGGGUUCCUGUCCAACGUUAAUCGGGGCAGGGUGAGUCGACCCCUAAGGCGAGGCCGAAAGGCGUAGUCGAUGGGAAACAGGUUAAUAUUCCUGUACUUGGUGUUACUGCGAAGGGGGGACGGAGAAGGCUAUGUUGGCCGGGCGACGGUUGUCCCGGUUUAAGCGUGUAGGCUGGUUUUCCAGGCAAAUCCGGAAAAUCAAGGCUGAGGCGUGACGACGAGGCACUACGGUGCUGAAGCAACAAAUGCCCUGCUUCCAGGAAAAGCCUCUAAGCAUCAGGUAACAUCAAAUCGUACCCCAAACCGACACAGGUGGUCAGGUAGAGAAUACCAAGGCGCUUGAGAGAACUCGGGUGAAGGAACUAGGCAAAAUGGUGCCGUAACUUCGGGAGAAGGCACGCUGACACGUAGGUGAAGUGAUUUACUCAUGGAGCUGAAGUCAGUCGAAGAUACCAGCUGGCUGCAACUGUUUAUUAAAAACACAGCACUGUGCAAACACGAAAGUGGACGUAUACGGUGUGACGCCUGCCCGGUGCCGGAAGGUUAAUUGAUGGGGUCAGCGCAAGCGAAGCUCCUGAUCGAAGCCCCGGUAAACGGCGGCCGUAACUAUAACGGUCCUAAGGUAGCGAAAUUCCUUGUCGGGUAAGUUCCGACCUGCACGAAUGGCGUAAUGAUGGCCAGGCUGUCUCCACCCGAGACUCAGUGAAAUUGAACUCGCUGUGAAGAUGCAGUGUACCCGCGGCAAGACGGAAAGACCCCGUGAACCUUUACUAUAGCUUGACACUGAACAUUGAGCCUUGAUGUGUAGGAUAGGUGGGAGGCUUUGAAGUGUGGACGCCAGUCUGCAUGGAGCCGACCUUGAAAUACCACCCUUUAAUGUUUGAUGUUCUAACGUGGACCCGUAAUCCGGGUUGCGGACAGUGUCUGGUGGGUAGUUUGACUGGGGCGGUCUCCUCCUAAAGAGUAACGGAGGAGCACGAAGGUUGGCUAAUCCUGGUCGGACAUCAGGAGGUUAGUGCAAUGGCAUAAGCCAGCUUGACUGCGAGCGUGACGGCGCGAGCAGGUGCGAAAGCAGGUCAUAGUGAUCCGGUGGUUCUGAAUGGAAGGGCCAUCGCUCAACGGAUAAAAGGUACUCCGGGGAUAACAGGCUGAUACCGCCCAAGAGUUCAUAUCGACGGCGGUGUUUGGCACCUCGAUGUCGGCUCAUCACAUCCUGGGGCUGAAGUAGGUCCCAAGGGUAUGGCUGUUCGCCAUUUAAAGUGGUACGCGAGCUGGGUUUAGAACGUCGUGAGACAGUUCGGUCCCUAUCUGCCGUGGGCGCUGGAGAACUGAGGGGGGCUGCUCCUAGUACGAGAGGACCGGAGUGGACGCAUCACUGGUGUUCGGGUUGUCAUGCCAAUGGCACUGCCCGGUAGCUAAAUGCGGAAGAGAUAAGUGCUGAAAGCAUCUAAGCACGAAACUUGCCCCGA